CCCGGGUGCUGGGAUGUGCCCAGACCUGUCCUGGCCUGUCCCCGCGCUGGGACAGGCUCACAGGCUGAGCUGGCUUAGGCCGGGAUUAAAGGCACGCUCUGCAAUUAGAGGCACACCCGGCUCCUUCCGGCAUUCCCAGCCCCAUCUGCGCAGGGUUUGGAGAGAGGGAAUGCUGAGGGUGUUCAUCCCUAGUGUCCAAGGCCAUCUCUCUGCUUGUCAUUCCUUGGAAUAACAAAAAACCCAUUUCUCUAAUGCAUCAGGAUGUUUCCAUCCCUUUCUGGGGAGGGAAAUACACCUAGAAACUGUAGGAUCACAAGGAUUUCCAGGAAAGCAAAACAAGCGCGGAGAUGAGGGAGUAAGCUUCCAAUUUAAAAAUUAUUUCAUGGACAUAGGAAUGAUUCUUGUAUGUUUUACAACUCCCCUUUUUAUUCCUUGAAUAAUUUUAGAUUUUAUUUUCUUUUAACAAAUCAUCUAAAUUUGAGAGGAAACAAUAGAAAAUUAAUGCAGGGAGAGACUGUGGAAUCAUCCUGGAACGGUUUGGGCUGGAAGCCUCAUCUCUGAGCUCCUGUCCUUCAGCCACUCGCUGCAGGUGGACAUGGAAGUGAUGGAGAUGUGCAGGGAAUGCUGCUUGGUUUUCCCUGCCUCCGGCAAUCUGGCCAUUCAAAAGACUAAUUGACCUCUUCCAGCAGGGAAACAUUUAAACAAGAGGUCUCAAAAAGAAUUGGAGCGUCUGCACAAUGAAAUCUGCAAGAAUCCAACUUCAAAUCCCCCUGAAUUGUCACUGGUCCAACUUCCAUGGACUGGUCACUGUGGCCAGGAGUGUCCAGUCCUGCUGGAAAUGCACUGGACCAGGAUGUCAUUUUCAUUUGAUGCUGGUGAAGACCCUCUGGGUGACCCCCAGUGACUGGAAGGACCAGACUGGGCUCCCAGGGCACUAAUUGCAGGGGUUCUGUUCUUGGGAAUAGCACAGGAGCCUUUCCCUUGUCCAGAGGAGCAGCCAGUGUUUCCCUGUCUGGGACAAGGGAGGUGGAAAACACGCUGGGUCAGUGGAGAGGGGCCUCCAUGGGGAUGGGAGGCUCCCGCUGCCGUUCCCAUCUCCCUGCGGGCACGGAGGGCUGAUCCCGGACCAGGACAGGGCGAUGCUCCCGGCGCAUCCCGGGGCGAGCGGCCCCAAACGGGCCGGGCCUGCUCAGGUGCGCGGGGCGGGACCGGGGGAUUCAAACCCCGGAGCCGCCCCGGCCUCCUGGGCUCGUUCAGCGCUCGGUGCGGGAGCAGCGGCCGGGCCGGGCUCCUCCGGGGGUCCAAGCCAAGAACAUCCCAAAGGGCCUCCUCACCCUCAUGGACAGCAGGAAUGUCUUCCAUGGCUCCUGCUUGGGAAUGGCAGUGGCUGUUGGGAGCUCUGGAGACCAGGUUGUGCUGGAUGACUUCAAAGUCCCAGACUGAAGCCACACAGAGGAUUGAAGGCAGCACCAAGAUAUUGUAGGACUGUCUCCAAACAGAUCGCACUGCAAAGAGGGUUUUCCAGCUGGAGGAAACCUCCAGCAGGGAGUUCACAC
Molecule: long non-coding RNA, 1556 nt
Organism: Junco hyemalis (dark-eyed junco)
Lineage: Eukaryota; Metazoa; Chordata; Aves; Passeriformes; Passerellidae
Source: Ensembl